UACGUAGGGAGCAAGCGUUGUCCGGAAUCAUUGGGCGUAAAGCGCGCGUAGGCGGCCCUGUAAGUCCGUUGUGAAAGUCAAAGGCUCAACCUUUGAAAGCCGAUGGAUACUGCAGGGCUAGAGUACGGAAGAGGCGAGUGGAAUUCCUGGUGUAGCGGUGGAAUGCGCAGAUAUCAGGAGGAACACCAAUAGCGAAGGCAGCUCGCUGGGACGUUACUGACGCUAAGGCGCGAAAGCGUGGGGAGCGAACAGG
This 253-nucleotide ribosomal RNA is filed under the name uncultured bacterium. RNAcentral's name for it is "partial 16S ribosomal RNA". It matches the Rfam family "Bacterial small subunit ribosomal RNA", at positions 524 to 776 of the family's 1533-position model. The record is from RNAcentral.